UCUAAUCCAGUGCUGGGGUUAUGAAACCUUUUUCUGAAAAGUAUUACAGCUUUAUGGCCAGGAGGCCCAAUUUCAGCUCUUCUGCCACUUGGAAAUUCCUAAAGCAGCAUCGAGAGAAUAUCCAGAAGCCAAAUACCGGAGAAGUACGGGUAUAUGAGCAAUCACUCAUCUGUUCCUUGCGGCGGCAGUCACUCACCAUGAUGUCAGAACCACUGCCUGGGGAGAGACAGCAGCAACUAGAGAUACAGAGAUCCCAGGCAAAGCCCCAAAUCUUCUCAUCCCCUCACUCCACAUAGACUUAUCAUCACUGCCCCCCACACCCUUUCCUGGACCUGCAAAAGGCAAAGGUUCCUGGGCAGGGACAGGGAGUGCCGGGGAGUCACCAACCAUGAACGCUACACAAGUUUCCCAUGGAAGAUUGGUGGGAAAGAACCAUCUGAAACAGUGACAGUUGGAGUGGGCUGAGUUGUGACUUGUGGAAAGAAGUAGGAAGAACCAGCAUUUUGGGUGGGACCAUGGUAAGAAAAAGCUGGGAGGUGUAUUGGAGUUCAGAUUGCAGAGAAAAGGUAUUUGUUCUUUAUUUUAUGGAUUAAAAGAGAAGAUGUUUGCUGCUACAUGUGUAUAUGUAUAUGUACAUGAGGGGAUGUUCACUGCUGCCCUGCUCGAGAGUGGAAAAGUAGAAGUAACCUAAUGGUCUAUUAAGAGUGAGAUGCAUAGAUAGACUUUGACAUGCCCCUACAUGGUGUACUAUGCAGCAGGUCAACGAGACAAGGAAGCUGUUUACAAACUGAUAUUAAGUUCUCAUAACUGUUAAGUUUAAAAAGCAAAUGCAGAACGGUUUGUGCUACUGUUUGUGGGGCCUGGGGAAAACAAAUGAAGAUAGAGUAAACAGCAUAUUUGUAUAAGGUGGAAUAUCUACAAAAAGAUCACAGAAAGUAAUUAAGACAGUAA
Long non-coding RNA from Pteropus alecto (black flying fox), 951 nucleotides. RefSeq lists it as uncharacterized. Lineage: Eukaryota; Metazoa; Chordata; Mammalia; Chiroptera; Pteropodidae. The transcript has 2 exons. The record is from RefSeq and is a predicted model, not a curated record.